UCUCGAUGAAGAACGCGCAGCGAAAUGCGAUACGUAAUGCGAAUUGCAAGACCUCGUGAAUCAUUAAAAUUUUGAACGCACAUUGCGCUUUCGGGAUUUUCCCGGGAGCAUACUUGUCUGA
RNAcentral lists this ribosomal RNA (121 nucleotides) under Pseudo-nitzschia hasleana. RNAcentral describes it as "partial 5.8S ribosomal RNA". It matches the Rfam family "5.8S ribosomal RNA", at positions 33 to 148 of the family's 154-position model. From Rfam's summary of the family: 5.8S ribosomal RNA (5.8S rRNA) is a component of the large subunit of the eukaryotic ribosome. It is transcribed by RNA polymerase I as part of the 45S precursor that also contains 18S and 28S rRNA. Functionally, it is thought that 5.8S rRNA may be involved in ribosome translocation. The record is from RNAcentral. Lineage: Eukaryota; Bacillariophyta; Bacillariophyceae; Bacillariales; Bacillariaceae.